UAGAUUAGGGUAAGCUUCUCUAAAUAAAUGUGUUUUUAGAGAUCUCUUGAAGGCAGAGAGAUUGGGAGAAAGUCUGAUGGUUUGUGGGAGCGAAUGCCAGAGAAGGAGGA
This is a long non-coding RNA of Xenopus tropicalis (tropical clawed frog), 110 nucleotides long. RefSeq lists it as uncharacterized. NCBI's taxonomy places the organism in Eukaryota, Metazoa, Chordata, Amphibia, Anura, Pipidae. The record is from RefSeq and is a predicted model, not a curated record. The transcript has 3 exons.